This 497-nucleotide ribosomal RNA is filed under the name uncultured bacterium. RNAcentral describes it as "partial 16S ribosomal RNA". It matches the Rfam family "Bacterial small subunit ribosomal RNA", at positions 28 to 507 of the family's 1533-position model. The record is from RNAcentral.
GAUGAACGCUGGCGGCGUGCCUAAUACAUGCCAGUCGAGCGAACGGACGAGAAGCUUGCUUCUCUGAUGUUAGCGGCGGACGGGUGAGUAACACGUGGAUAACCUACCUAUAAGACUGGGAUAACUUCGGGAAACCGGAGCUAAUACCGGAUAAUAUUUUGAACCGCAUGGUUCAAAAGUGAAAGACGGUCUUGCUGUCACUUAUAGAUGGAUCCGCGCUGCAUUAGCUAGUUGGUAAGGUAACGGCUUACCAAGGCAACGAUGCAUAGCCGACCUGAGAGGGUGAUCGGCCACACUGGAACUGAGACACGGUCCAGACUCCUACGGGAGGCAGCAGUAGGGAAUCUUCCGCAAUGGGCGAAAGCCUGACGGAGCAACGCCGCGCGAGUGAUGAAGGUCUUCGGAUCGUAAAACUCUGUUAUUAGGGAAGAACAUAUGUGUAAGUAACUGUGCACAUCUUGACGGUACCUAAUCAGAAAGCCACGGCUAACUACGUG